UGAGGAAUAUUGGUCAAUGGGCGCGAGCCUGAACCAGCCAUCCCGCGUGCAGGAAGACGGCCCUAUGGGUUGUAAACUGCUUUUGCGCAGGAAGAACGUCCCCUUCGUGAAGGGGAGUGACGGUACUGCAUGAAUAAGCACCGGCUAACUCCGUGCCAGCAGCCGCGGUGAUACGGAGGGUGCAAGCGUUAUCCGGAUUUAUUGGGUUUAAAGGGUGCGUAGGCGGUGAAAUAAGUCAGUGGUGAAGAGCUGCAGCUCAACCGUAGUCCUGCCAUUGAAACUGUUUUACUUGAGUAACCAUGAGGUAGGCGGAAUGUGUAGCGUAGCGGUGAAAUGCUUAGAUAUUACACAGAACACCGAUUGCGUAGGCAGCUUACUAGAGGUUCACUGACGCUGAUGCACGAAAGCAUGGGGAGCAAACAGG
Molecule: ribosomal RNA, 424 nt
Filed under: uncultured bacterium
Lineage: Bacteria
Description: bacterial SSU rRNA
Rfam family: Bacterial small subunit ribosomal RNA
Source: RNAcentral